This 253-nucleotide ribosomal RNA is filed under the name uncultured bacterium. RNAcentral's name for it is "partial 16S ribosomal RNA". It matches the Rfam family "Bacterial small subunit ribosomal RNA", at positions 524 to 776 of the family's 1533-position model. The record is from RNAcentral.
UACGUAUGGGGCAAGCGUUAUCCGGAUUCAUUGGGCGUAAAGAGCGCGUAGGCGGAUUGUUAAGUCAGAUGUGAAAACUGGGGGCUCAACCCGCAGCCUGCAUCUGAAACUGGCAGUCUUGAGUCUGGUAGAGGAGUGUGGAAUUCCCAGUGUAGCGGUGAAAUGCGCAGAUAUUGGGAGGAACACCAGUGGCGAAGGCGGCACUCUGGGCCACGACUGACGCUGAGGCGCGAAAGCUAGGGGAGCAAACAGG